UCGAGGAGGAAUUAGUUUAGCAGAAAAAGUUAACACUUUUUCAAAUGAAAACUAACUCAUUUACCACAAAAUUCAACCAAGAAAGCCUUAUUAUCGACAAAUCUUUAAUACAGAGCCAAGUGUUUAUUAUUUUUGGCUAAAUUUUGAGCUUCUAAUAGCGAACGAAGAACAAUUAGAGACGAACCUUUCUCUAGAAUCUCGAAGAUCCACAGUCCAAGAUGUCGGAGUUUAGCUGGAAAAGUUGCUACUUUUUCAAAUGAAAAAUAACUCAUUUAUUACAAAAUUCAACCAAGAAAGCCUUGUUAUCGACAAAUCUUUAAUACAGAGCCAAACGUUUUACAUUUUUGGCUAACAUCUUAUAUUAAGCUCGGAAUAGCGAACGAAGAACAAAGAGACGAACCCUUUCUCUCGAAUCUGGAGUCGAAAAAUCAACCUUUCUUAAAGAUAUUGAACUUUGGAGACUUGAAGAAGCAACUAUAACUCAUCCUAAAGCCAAAAUGGAACAACUUUAUUAGAGAAUAGACCAGAAUGAGCUGAGAACAAUGAGAAUGUGGUACUUUAAUCAGGCUCAAGAGAAAUCAGUAUUUUGACUAAAAUUUUGCAGUAGUUUCAACAAAAAAAAUGGAAAGGCAGGAUGGUACAACACAAUUGAACUGGAAAAAGUCGAGAUUUUCUGUGGAGAAUCGUUUUUCMUCUUGGUUCCACGUGUGGAGGGUGUAGGGUGAGCUGUAUCCAGGUAGAGCACUCGAACAACAUAUCUUUCUUGUGAAUGUUCUCGUGGCGUUUGAGGUUGAAUAGUCUUUUGAAGGACUUUCUGCACGCUUGACACUGAAGUUUUCUGGAACAUCUGAUCCAAUAAAACUGAAAUAACUAGCU
Actinia tenebrosa (Australian red waratah sea anemone) is the source of this 876-nucleotide long non-coding RNA. RefSeq lists it as uncharacterized. The record is from RefSeq and is a predicted model, not a curated record. Lineage: Eukaryota; Metazoa; Cnidaria; Anthozoa; Actiniaria; Actiniidae.